RNAcentral lists this ribosomal RNA (515 nucleotides) under uncultured bacterium. RNAcentral describes it as "bacterial SSU rRNA". It matches the Rfam family "Bacterial small subunit ribosomal RNA", at positions 28 to 527 of the family's 1533-position model. The record is from RNAcentral.
GACGAACGCUGGCGGCGUGGAUUAGGCAUGCAAGUCGAACGGUAUCAUCCUUUCGGGGGUGAGAGAGUGGCGAACUGGUGAGUAACACGUAGGUUAUCUACCCUCAAGACGGGGACAACCCAGGGAAACUUGGGCUAAUACCGGAUGUGAGCAACUUUUAGUUGUUUGAAAGGUGGCGUAAGCUGUCGCUUGGGGAUGAGCCUGCGUCCUAUUAGUUAGUUGGUGAGGUAACGGCUCACCUAGGCAAUGAUAGGUAGGCGGCCUUAACGGGUGGUCGCCCACACUGGGAUUGAGAUACGGCCCAGACUCCUACGGGAGGCAGCAGUCGAGAAUAGUCUACAAUGGUCGGAAGACUGAUAGUGCGACGCCGCGUGAACGAUGAAUCCCUUCGGGGUGUAAAGUUCUUUUAUAUGUGAGCAGUGCUUCUUAUAUUAACAGUAUGGGGAGAGAGAUAUUAGCAUAUAGAAUAAGCAACGGGACUAACGUCCGUGCCAGCAGCCGACGGUAAAAUACCG